RNAcentral lists this long non-coding RNA (466 nucleotides) under Mus pahari (shrew mouse). RNAcentral describes it as "lncRNA (MGP_PahariEiJ_G0005798.1)". Lineage: Eukaryota; Metazoa; Chordata; Mammalia; Rodentia; Muridae. The record is from RNAcentral.
GGGUUCGAUGCUCCACCCAAACGAAGGCAUUUGUAAUCAAAAGGAAAACAAGGCAGAGAGGUGUGGACAGCGCUUAACCUGGUCAUGUGUCUUACUUUGUUUUCUGUGGCUGGAACGGAAUACCACAGUUUAAGUCAGAAAGCUUGUUGGUCUUUCCGCUCUGGUAGCCGGGAAGUUCAAGAUGGAGCAGCCACAUCUAAUGAGGCCCUUCCUGCUAGUGUUGACGCUGCAGAGUCCAAGGCCAUUCAGGGCAUCACAUGUGCAGCGCUCCUCAGCUUCCCCACCUAUGGCUCAAGCAGGUUCUGGUGUAGCUCUUGCAACUGUUCUAAAGGACACAGAAGCGAGCUUUGGCAGAGUCCGUGUGGCGCGAACUCUGCAGAUCUGCUUACUGUGAUGUGAUGGCAUCCGCUUAGAUUUCAAAGAAUGUCACAGCCAGCCUGGAGUCCCAGGUAGAGAGACCUGUCAC